GAUCAUGGCUCAGAUUGAACGCUGGCGGCAUGCUUACACAUGCAAAAGUCGAACGGUAACAGGCCUUCGGGUGCUGACGAGUGGCGAACGGGUGAGUAAUGCAUCGGAACAUACCCAGUCGUGGGGGAUAACGUAGCGAAAGUUACGCUAAUACUGCAUACGUCCUGAGGGAGAAAGCGGGGGAUCGCAAGACCUCGCGCGAUUGGAGUGGCCGAUGUCAGAUUAGCUAGUUGGUGGGGUAAAGGCCCACCAAGGCGACGAUCUGUAGCGGGUCUGAGAGGAUGAUCCGCCACACUGGGACUGAGACACGGCCCAGACUCCUACGGGAGGCAGCAGUGGGGAAUUUUGGACAAUGGGGGAAACCCUGAUCCAGCCAUGCCGCGUGCGGGAAGAAGGCCUUCGGGUUGUAAACCGCUUUCAGCCGGAAAGAAAUCGCACGGACCAAUACUCUGUGUGGAUGACGGUACCGGAAGAAGAAGCACCGGCUAACUACGUG
RNAcentral lists this ribosomal RNA (496 nucleotides) under uncultured bacterium. RNAcentral describes it as "bacterial SSU rRNA". It matches the Rfam family "Bacterial small subunit ribosomal RNA", at positions 15 to 507 of the family's 1533-position model. The record is from RNAcentral.